GAUGAACGCUGGCGGCGUGCUUAACACAUGCAAGUCGAACGGAGAGGCACAGCUUGCUCUGUGGUUCAGUGGCGAACGGGUGAGUAACACGUGAGCAACCUGCCCCCCACUCUGGGAUAAGCGCUGGAAACGGCGUCUAAUACUGGAUAUGAGCUAUGUUCGCAUGGUUGGUUGUUGGGAAGAUUUUGCGGUUUGUGAUGGGUUUACGGCUUAUCUGCUUGUUGGUGAGGUAAGGGCUCACCACGGCGUCGAGGGGUAGCCGUCCUGAGAGGGUGACCGGCCACACUGGGCCUGCGAGACGGCCCAGACUCCAACGGGAGGCAGUGGGGGGGAGUAUGACACAAUGGGGCAAAGCCUGUUACGGCAGCGCCCGGUGCGGGAUACCGGCCUUCGGGUGGAAAACCUCUUUGCGAGGGACAAAACCGAUAGUGACGGUACCUACAGAAAAAGCGCCGGCUAACUACGUG
This 467-nucleotide ribosomal RNA is filed under the name uncultured bacterium. RNAcentral describes it as "partial 16S ribosomal RNA". It matches the Rfam family "Bacterial small subunit ribosomal RNA", at positions 28 to 507 of the family's 1533-position model. The record is from RNAcentral.